GCAGGAGUAGCGAAGUGGUCAAACGCGCCAGGUUUAGGACCUGGUGGCCUAGCGCCUUCGGAGGUUCGAAUCCUCCCUCCUGCA
RNAcentral lists this transfer RNA (84 nucleotides) under Candidatus Iainarchaeum sp. RNAcentral's name for it is "tRNA-Leu". It matches the Rfam family "tRNA". Rfam says of the family: Transfer RNA (tRNA) molecules are approximately 80 nucleotides in length. Their secondary structure includes four short double-helical elements and three loops (D, anti-codon, and T loops). Lineage: Archaea; Nanobdellati; Candidatus Iainarchaeota; Candidatus Iainarchaeia; Candidatus Iainarchaeales; Candidatus Iainarchaeaceae. The record is from RNAcentral.